Molecule: ribosomal RNA, 435 nt
Filed under: uncultured bacterium
Lineage: Bacteria
Description: partial 16S ribosomal RNA
Rfam family: Bacterial small subunit ribosomal RNA
Source: RNAcentral
GAUGAACGCUGGCGGUAUGCUUAACACAUGCAAGUCGAACGGACUCUUCGGAGUUAGUGGCGGACGGGUGAGUAACGCGUGAGAAUCUGGCUUUGGGUUCGGGACAACCACUGGAAACGGUGGCUAAUACCGGAUGUGCCGAGAGGUAAAAGAGAAACUGCCUGAAGAUGAGCUCGCGUCUGAUUAGCUAGUUGGUGAGGUAAAGGCUCACCAAGGCAGCGAUCAGUAGCUGGUCUGAGAGGAUGACCAGCCACACUGGGACUGAGACACGGCCCAGACUCCUACGGGAGGCAGCAGUGGGGAAUUUUCCGCAAUGGGCGAAAGCCUGACGGAGCAAUACCGCGUGAGGGAAGAAGGCUCUUGGGUUGUAAACCUCUUUUCUUAGGGAAGAACAAAAUGACGGUACCUAAGGAAUCAGCAUCGGCUAACUCCGUG